AGUGAACGCUGGCGGUAGGCCUAACACAUGCAAGUCGAACGGCAGCACAGUAAGAGCUUGCUCUUACGGGUGGCGAGUGGCGGACGGGUGAGGAAUACAUCGGAAUCUACUUUUUCUUGGGGGAUAACGUAGGGAAACUUACGCUAAUACCGCAUACGACCUACGGGUGAAAGCAGGGGAUCUUCGGACCUUGCGCGAUUGAAUUAGCCGAUGUCGGAUUAGCUAGUUGGCGGGGUAAAGGCCCACCAAGGCGACGAUCCGUAGCUGGUCUGAGAGGAUGAUCAGCCACACUGGAACUGAGACACGGUCCAGACUCCUACGGGAGGCAGCAGUGGGGAAUAUUGGACAAUGGGCGCAAGCCUGAUCCAGCCAUACCGCGUGGGUGAAGAAGGCCUUCGGGUUGUAAAGCCCUUUUGUUGGGAAAGAAAAGCAGCAGGUUAAUACCCCGCUGUUCUGACGGUACCCAAAGAAUAAGCACCGGCUAACUUCGUG
Molecule: ribosomal RNA, 492 nt
Filed under: uncultured bacterium
Lineage: Bacteria
Description: partial 16S ribosomal RNA
Rfam family: Bacterial small subunit ribosomal RNA
Source: RNAcentral